GGCCAGGCUGCCUCCCCCGUGCGAAGCCGUGUGAAGGAACCGGGCAUUCACCGGGCAGGGGGAGCAGGAGGAGUGAGGAGCUCAGCAUCACGACUGUUCGUUGAUACGGCUCUUCUCUGCAAACCUCUGGCAGUUGUUCGCCUGUUUUCUCCCGUACCCCCUGGAAGGGGGGCUGCAGCUCAGAUUGCCACCGUCUCCUCAGUGACUGCAUAGUCGCCAUCAGCCUGGCGCGUCCCGUUUGUUUCUGCAAACUAGCAGCGUACUUCAAGAAGGAUAGAGAUCAACUGGACAUGACCCAGAGCUGAACAAUAGGAAUAUGAUGCCACAGAAGAACAGAAAACAUGAUCCAUGGAGAAAGAAGAACACACGCCUCUGGGACUGCUCUGGGACCAGAACAGCAUCACUACAAAAAUCUUGUAACUUCGUUAAUUGCAAGUACAAAAAUCUUGUCAUUUCACUAAUUGCAAAAAUCCAACCAACAACUCUCCUCCUUUUUCUUUCUUAUUUCUAAACUACAUUUCCUAGAAAUCUCAGGCUUAGAGUCAAAGUGCACAUCUGUGUCUUGCUCUCUGGUUCAGUCUCCUAUUAGAGAAACAUACUGAAAAGCAAACAGUAAGUGCAGGAAACCAUUUAAUAUCAUUUUUUUUCCCUCUCAUGUCAAGAAAAUAUUCAACUGAUUUCAGCAACCAGUAAGGAGCUCCACAAGAGCAGACCUAGGUUUGGGUCAUAUUCAGUAUCUUGUAAUUGAGCUUUUAAACACUCAUUUUUCACCUAAGAAUAACUCGUUAAAGGACUUAAUAACCAUCUCUUCAUAAAAAUACAGGAC
This is a long non-coding RNA of Myiozetetes cayanensis, 826 nucleotides long. RefSeq lists it as uncharacterized. NCBI's taxonomy places the organism in Eukaryota, Metazoa, Chordata, Aves, Passeriformes, Tyrannidae. The record is from RefSeq and is a predicted model, not a curated record. The transcript has 3 exons.